This is a non-coding RNA of Phaeosphaeria sp. MPI-PUGE-AT-0046c, 90 nucleotides long. Lineage: Eukaryota; Fungi; Ascomycota; Dothideomycetes; Pleosporales; Phaeosphaeriaceae. The record is from the annotation of a GenBank genome assembly.
GGCCUAAUGGCCCAAUGGCAAGGCGCUUGACUACGAUUCCAAUUAAAAAAUCAAAUCAAGAGAUUCCAGGUUCGACCCCUGGUUAGGUCA